This 435-nucleotide ribosomal RNA is filed under the name uncultured Clostridiales Family IV bacterium. Its description in RNAcentral is "bacterial SSU rRNA". It matches the Rfam family "Bacterial small subunit ribosomal RNA", at positions 341 to 792 of the family's 1533-position model. Lineage: Bacteria; Bacillati; Bacillota; Clostridia; Eubacteriales; Eubacteriales Family IV. Incertae Sedis. The record is from RNAcentral.
ACGGGAGGCAGCAGUGGGGGAUAUUGCACAAUGGAGGAAACUCUGAUGCAGCAACGCCGCGUGAGGGAAGAAGGUCUUCGGAUUGUAAACCUCUGUUUUUGGUGAAGAAUUUUGAUGGUAGCCAAAGAGGAAGCCACGGCUAACUACGUGCCAGCAGCCGCGGUAAUACGUAGGUGGCAAGCGUUGUCCGGAUUUACUGGGUGUAAAGGGUGCGCAGGCGGGACUGCAAGUUGGAUGUGAAAUACCGAGGCUUAACCUCGGGGCUGCAUCCAAAACUGUGGUUCUUGAGUGGAGUAGAGGUAAGCGGAAUUCCGAGUGUAGCGGUGAAAUGCGUAGAUAUUCGGAGGAACACCAGUGGCGAAGGCGGCUUACUGGGCUCUAACUGACGCUGAGGCACGAAAGUGUGGGUAGCAAACAGGAUUAGAUACCCUGGUA